This 253-nucleotide ribosomal RNA is filed under the name uncultured bacterium. RNAcentral's name for it is "partial 16S ribosomal RNA". It matches the Rfam family "Bacterial small subunit ribosomal RNA", at positions 524 to 776 of the family's 1533-position model. The record is from RNAcentral.
UACGGAGGGUGCGAGCGUUGUCCGGAAUCACUGGGCGUAAAGGGAGCGUAGGCGGGUUUCUAAGUCAGGUGUUUAAUCCCGGGGCCCAACCCCGGACAGGCACUUGAAACUGGGAAUCUUGAAUAGUGGAGAGGUCAGUGGAAUUGGGGGUGUAGCGGUGGAAUGCGUAGAGAUCCCCAAGAACACCAGUUGCGAAGGCGGCUGACUGGACACAUAUUGACGCUGAGGCUCGAAAGCAUGGGGAGCAAACAGG